GGACGCCAGUCUGCAUGGAGCCGACCUUGAAAUACCACCCUUUAAUGUUUGAUGUUCUAACGUGGACCCGUUACCCGGGUUGCGGACAGUGUCUGGUGGGUAGUUUGACUGGGGCGGUCUCCUCCUAAAGAGUAACGGAGGAGCACGAAGGUUGGCUAAUCCUGGUCGGACAUCAGGAGGUUAGUGCAAUGGCAUAAGCCAGCUUGACUGCGAGCGUGACGGCGCGAGCAGGUGCGAAAGCAGGUCAUAGUGAUCCGGUGGUUCUGAAUGGAAGGGCCAUCGCUCAACGGAUAAAAGGUACUCCGGGGAUAACAGGCUGAUACCGCCCAAGAGUUCAUAUCGACGGCGGUGUUUGGCACCUCGAUGUCGGCUCAUCACAUCCUGGGGCUGAAGUAGGUCCCAAGGGUAUGGCUGUUCGCCAUUUAAAGUGGUACGCGAGCUGGGUUUAGAACGUCGUGAGACAGUUCGGUCCCUAUCUGCCGUGGGCGCUGGAGAACUGAGGGGGGCUGCUCCUAGUACGAGAGGACCGGAGUGGACGCAUCACUGGUGUUCGGGUUGUCAUGCCAAUGGCACUGCCCGGUAGCUAAAUGCGGAAGAGAUAAGUGCUGAAAGCAUCUAAGCACGAAACUUGCCCCGAG
RNAcentral lists this ribosomal RNA (638 nucleotides) under Salmonella enterica subsp. enterica serovar Heidelberg. RNAcentral describes it as "partial 23S ribosomal RNA". It matches the Rfam family "Bacterial large subunit ribosomal RNA", at positions 2166 to 2803 of the family's 2925-position model. RNAcentral also lists the same sequence under 1 other name. Lineage: Bacteria; Pseudomonadati; Pseudomonadota; Gammaproteobacteria; Enterobacterales; Enterobacteriaceae. The record is from RNAcentral.